UGGGAACACGCCACUAAUUGAAUGUAUUUGUUACAUCUGCGAUGAGGUGGCGACUUGUCCAGGGUGUACACCGCCUUCCGCCCGAUUGUAGCUGAGAUAGGCUCCAGCGCCCCCAGCAACCCCAAAGGGAAUAAGCGGAAUCUGCAGUGG
Molecule: long non-coding RNA, 150 nt
Organism: Entelurus aequoreus (snake pipefish)
Lineage: Eukaryota; Metazoa; Chordata; Actinopteri; Syngnathiformes; Syngnathidae
Exons: 3
Source: RefSeq, a predicted model, not a curated record